This is a regulatory RNA element of HIV-1 M_02CD.LBTB032, 84 nucleotides long. It matches the Rfam family "HIV gag stem loop 3 (GSL3)". From Rfam's summary of the family: This family consists of several HIV gag stem loop 3 (GSL3) sequences. GSL3 is known to direct specific packaging of HIV-1 genomic RNA. NCBI's taxonomy places the organism in Riboviria, Pararnavirae, Artverviricota, Revtraviricetes, Ortervirales, Retroviridae. The record is from Rfam.
GGCCAGGGGGAAAGAAAAAAUAUAGGCUGAAACAUUUAGUAUGGGCAAGCAGGGAGCUGGAAAGAUUCGCACUUAACCCUGGCC